UGCAGUAUUGAGCAAUUGGUUAGCUUGACGGGCUCAUAAUCCGUAUGUGCUGGUUCAAAUCCAGCUGCUGCAC
RNAcentral lists this transfer RNA (73 nucleotides) under Pediastrum duplex. RNAcentral's name for it is "tRNA-Met". It matches the Rfam family "tRNA". Rfam says of the family: Transfer RNA (tRNA) molecules are approximately 80 nucleotides in length. Their secondary structure includes four short double-helical elements and three loops (D, anti-codon, and T loops). Lineage: Eukaryota; Viridiplantae; Chlorophyta; Chlorophyceae; Sphaeropleales; Hydrodictyaceae. The record is from RNAcentral.